UGCCAGCAGCCGCGGUAAUACGGAGGGGGCUAGCGUUGUUCGGAAUUACUGGGCGUAAAGCGCGCGUAGGCGGACUGGUCAGUUGGGGGUGAAAUCCCAAGGCUCAACCUUGGAACUGCCUUCAAAACUGCCAGUCUUGAGUCCGGGAGAGGUGAGUGGAAUUCCUAGUGUAGAGGUGAAAUUCGUAGAUAUUAGGAAGAACACCAGUGGCGAAGGCGGCUCACUGGCUCGAUACUGACGCUGAGGUGCGAAAGCGUGGGGAGCAAACAGGAUUAGAUA
Molecule: ribosomal RNA, 279 nt
Filed under: uncultured bacterium
Lineage: Bacteria
Description: partial 16S ribosomal RNA
Rfam family: Bacterial small subunit ribosomal RNA
Source: RNAcentral